UACAAUAAUAUCAUCAUGGCCGCCGUGACAGAUUUUCUAACCUGUAUCUAGAGCCGCGGUCGCAACUAUAUAUGAGAAGCGAGUUCUCGGUUUUUGUGUAAAAAAAAACGUCGAACAAGAUGUCCAUCGAAGGUCGAAGAUAUUCAAAUUAACAAUUGUUAAUUUAUGGUGAUGACGCAGAAUCCUCAUUAUGACAUGCACUAUUCAAUGACACUGAAGCUAGCAGUAUACCACUACACAACAGUGAUACAAAGUGACAUUUUAGGUUUAACAAAGAAAACAUCAUAUAAGAUGUUCACAGAAUUACAGGCUGCAUUCGGAAUUAAAUUCCUGAAAAUAAGUUUUGUUAGGAAGUGCAGAAGCAAACUAUGAUAUAUACGAGGUUAAUUAAUCCAUUCCCGACUAAGAGUUAGAAAUGAGAGACGAAAGUGAAGGCACUUUUGCAGAAAAUACAACCAGAAUUCAUUACUCUUGACUCAACUGAGAUACUCGAAGUUGAUGUACCUACGUAUACAAGGAGAAAGUGGAAAGACAUCGAGAGGUAUUAUUUACUGUGGAUGGAGCUGAGGAUUUGAUGUUACAAGGAUUCUUUUCAUUUUACACUGAUAUGAUAUUAUAUAUUUAUUUUUUAUUUAAAAUUUACGUAUAAAAAUGUGAAAAUUUUAUAAUUAUUCAAUAAAAAAAAUUUU
Molecule: long non-coding RNA, 689 nt
Organism: Solenopsis invicta (red fire ant)
Lineage: Eukaryota; Metazoa; Arthropoda; Insecta; Hymenoptera; Formicidae
Exons: 4
Source: RefSeq, a predicted model, not a curated record